AUUUUAUUUUAUUGCAAUUAACAUUUUAAUUUUACUCAGCUAGAUAAGACAACAGAGGAUGAAGUUGAUUUUGAAACCCUUUGUAAACUAGCUAAUGCUGGUAGCUAUGACUGUAAUUAUGGUUUCUAUUGUUCUGUAGGUGAACUUGGGAAGGGGAGUAGGGCUUCUGGAGAAACAAACCUUCUCUUUAAAUGGAGUUCACUGGCUUGUCUCAGCUUCAUGCCAGACUAAAGAACAUGGUUGGCUCCUGGAUCAGUGGAGACUACCCUGGGAUCAACCCUAAAGUGAUUCCUGCAGAGCCUGAGACUGGAAGCUGUCACACCAUGGAUGACAGCCAGGCUGCUGGAUUCAUUUCAAAGUGACUCAGUGGGGCAGAGAACCAUUAAUAUACUUAUCAUCACAGGUAUUAGUUAUAUGUCACUAUUGAGAACUGUUGCAGAGUAUUAUUUUUCAUUCUUUUAUUUGUUUAACCAUACACUGUCUAGCUUUAAAAAUUUUAUUUGUGUUCAUGUGUUUGUUUUGUUCACAGGUAGACUAUUUUGUUUCUGAGAUUACUCCAAAUUUUACACAGAUGAUAAGUAGGUAGUGAAAAAAAUCCAAUUAGAAAAUGGGUGAAAGACCUGCCGAGACUUUUCACCAAAGAGGAUAUACAGAUGGUGAAUAAGGAGGGAAGAUUCGCCCUGAGCUAACAUCUGUGCCAAUCUUCCUCUAUUUUGUACGCGAGUUGCCGCAUAGCAUGGCUGCCGAUGAGUGGUGCAGAUCCAAUAUAGUCUGACCGAAGGAGGGUGUCUAUUCAAUUUCCCUUUUUCAGAGAAAAGGUUAUUAUCUAUAACUCUAUACGUUUUAACAUACUGGGGACACUAUAGUUUAGUG
Molecule: long non-coding RNA, 873 nt
Filed under: Equus caballus (horse)
Lineage: Eukaryota; Metazoa; Chordata; Mammalia; Perissodactyla; Equidae
Description: lncRNA (ENSECAG00000059654.1)
Source: RNAcentral